UUUCACCCAUAAUUCUUUUCUCCUUCCUCUCUCUUCACUCUCUCUUUCUCCAUAACCGCCGCCUCUCCACCGCCGCCGAAAAUCGCCCACCGGCGGCCGUCCACCUCCAAAUCACCCAAAAAUCGCACCAUACAAUCUCCACAUUCUCCUCUUUACAUAUCUAUAAACCAAAUCCUUAACAAAACCCUCAAACUCCUUGAAUUUUAGAUCUAGGAAACUUAAGCCGCAACUUUUUUGCCCAAAUUCUUGAAGUUCCGGCCACUAACACCCCACAAUACCUACAUCAACGGAUAGAGCUCCUCAAUACCUACCUAUUGAUGUCAAUUCUACACCAAAAAUCCGGCGACCAAAAGUCCGGCCAAAUUCCGGCGACCUCCCCGAACGCCCUCGUUUGGCAUGCCACCAUUUUUCGGCCACUUGAAAUUUAAAAUGGUAAUUCUCUCAAAGCGCUACUGUAAUUUUGAGUCAAGAACGAAUAGGAAUGAAGCAGAUUUAAGUAUUAUUCAGCUUCUUUUUGAGCUUUAAAUAUCUUGUUUUGUGUAGGAUUUUGUAUGUAAGCAUGUGUAAUGAAUGUUGACCUUCUUGUUUAAUUGUGGUUGACACCAUAUUUUAAAAUAUUUUGGCUCAUAGCUCGUUGUCUUUUUCUUGUCCGUUGCAAUGUAUAUUUGAGGCCGGAAGAUUAUCUCGUAUUUUAACCUAAUGCAUGUUUCAUGAAAAGGAAAUAUGAUUUCUUUUAAUUUUA
Molecule: long non-coding RNA, 742 nt
Organism: Nicotiana attenuata
Lineage: Eukaryota; Viridiplantae; Streptophyta; Magnoliopsida; Solanales; Solanaceae
Exons: 2
Source: RefSeq, a predicted model, not a curated record